GUGAAGAAGGCCUUUUGGUUGUAAAGCACUUUAAGCAGUGAAGAAGACUCUUCGGUUAAUACCCGGAGACGAUGACAUUAGCUGCAGAAUAAGCACCGGCUAACUCUGUGCCAGCAGCCGCGGUAAUACAGAGGGUGCAAGCGUUAAUCGGAAUUACUGGGCGUAAAGCGAGCGUAGGUGGCUUGAUAAGUCAGAUGUGAAAUCCCCGGGCUUAACCUGGGAACUGCAUCUGAAACUGUUAGGCUAGAGUAGGUGAGAGGGAAGUAGAAUUUCAGGUGUAGCGGUGAAAUGCGUAGAGAUCUGAAGGAAUACCGAUGGCGAAGGCAGCUUCCUGGCAUCAUACUGACACUGAGGCUCGAAAGCGUGGGUAGCAAACAGGAUUAGGUACCCUGGUAGUCCACGCCGCAAACGAUGUCUACUAGUCGUUGGGUCCCUUGAGGACUUAGUGACGCAGCUAACGCAAUAAGUAGACCGCCUGGGGAGUACGGCCGCAAGGUUAAAACUCAAAUGAAUUGACGGGGGCCCGCACAAGCGGUGGAGCAUGUGGUUUAAUUCGAUGCAACGCGAAGAACCUUACCUGGUCUUGACAUAUCUAGAAUCCUGCAGAGAUGCGGGAGUGCCUUCGGGAAUUAGAAUACAGGUGCUGCAUGGCUGUCGUCAGCUCGUGUCGUGA
RNAcentral lists this ribosomal RNA (673 nucleotides) under uncultured Psychrobacter sp. Its description in RNAcentral is "bacterial SSU rRNA". It matches the Rfam family "Bacterial small subunit ribosomal RNA", at positions 405 to 1070 of the family's 1533-position model. Lineage: Bacteria; Pseudomonadati; Pseudomonadota; Gammaproteobacteria; Moraxellales; Moraxellaceae. The record is from RNAcentral.